GACGAACGCUGGCGGCGUGCUUAACACAUGCAAGUCGAACGGUGAAGCUCCAGCUUGCUGGAGUGGAUCAGUGGCGAACGGGUGAGUAACACGUGAGCAACCUGCCCCUGACUCUGGCAUAAGCGCUGGAAACGGCGUCUAAUACUGGAUACGAGAAGGGUCCGCAUGGGCACUUUCUGGAAAGUUUUUCGGUUGGGGAUGGGCUCGCGGCCUAUCAGCUUGUUGGUGAGGUAAUGGCUCACCAAGGCGACGACGGGUAGCCGGCCUGAGAGGGCGACCGGCCACACUGGGACUGAGACACGGCCCAGACUCCUACGGGAGGCAGCAGUGGGGAAUAUUGCACAAUGGGCGAAAGCCUGAUGCAGCGACGCCGCGUGAGGGAUGACGGCCUUCGGGUUGUAAACCUCUUUCAGCAGGGAAGAAGCGAAAGUGACGGUACCUGCAGAAGAAGCACCGGCUAACUACGUG
This 468-nucleotide ribosomal RNA is filed under the name uncultured bacterium. RNAcentral describes it as "partial 16S ribosomal RNA". It matches the Rfam family "Bacterial small subunit ribosomal RNA", at positions 28 to 507 of the family's 1533-position model. The record is from RNAcentral.